RNAcentral lists this ribosomal RNA (301 nucleotides) under uncultured bacterium. RNAcentral's name for it is "partial 16S ribosomal RNA". It matches the Rfam family "Bacterial small subunit ribosomal RNA", at positions 509 to 807 of the family's 1533-position model. The record is from RNAcentral.
CAGUCGCCACGGGAAUACGGAGGGAGCUAGCGUUGUUCGGAAUUACUGGGCGUAAAGCGCACGUAGGCGGUUAUUCAAGUCAGAGGUGAAAGCCCGGGGCUCAACCCCGGAACUGCCUUCGAAACUAGAUGACUGGAAUCUUGGAGAGGUCAGUGGAAUUCCGAGUGUAGAGGUGAAAUUCGUAGAUAUUCGGAAGAACACCAGUGGCGAAGGCGACUGACUGGACAAGUAUUGACGCUGAGGUGCGAAAGCGUGGGGAGCAAACAGGAUUAGAUACCCCAGUAGUCCCUGUCUCUUAUAC